GAAAAACUUAUUUUUCUCCCACAUACUCUCUCUCUAAAAAAAUUUCUCUCUCCUCUUACAAAAGUUCUGAUUAUUUGAGAAGAGGAAAUUGAUCUAAGCAUAUUGAGAUAAGUUGUUUGAUUUAUUUAUUUGAAUUAUCUCUUGCUUAUUUAUAUUUAUAGAUAUACGAAUAUAAAUUGUUCUACACAAUUCUAUAUAUUUAUAUUUCAUCUAUUUAUCAAAUAAAAGGAUACUUGAGCGCCGCAAGGCUACGAAGAUAAACCUCUACGGAGAGGAAUCCGACCGUACGAUUUCUUAUAGUCUUCAGUAACCUUU
Molecule: long non-coding RNA, 315 nt
Filed under: Panax ginseng (ginseng)
Lineage: Eukaryota; Viridiplantae; Streptophyta; Magnoliopsida; Apiales; Araliaceae
Description: long non-coding RNA (PGIN_LNC016192)
Source: RNAcentral